UACGUAGGGGGCAAGCGUUGUCCGGAUUUAUUGGGCGUAAAGAGCGUGUAGGCGGCCAGGUAGGUCUGCUGUGAAAACUCGAGGCUCAACCUCGAGAUGUCGGCGGAAACCAUCUGGCUAGAGUCCGGAAGAGGAGAAUGGAAUUCCCGGUGUAGUGGUGAUAUGCGUAGAUAUCGGGAGGAACACCUGUGGCGAAGGCGGCUUUCUGGGCCUUACCUGACGCUGAGACGCGAAAGCGUGGGGAGCGAACCGG
RNAcentral lists this ribosomal RNA (253 nucleotides) under uncultured bacterium. RNAcentral's name for it is "partial 16S ribosomal RNA". It matches the Rfam family "Bacterial small subunit ribosomal RNA", at positions 524 to 776 of the family's 1533-position model. The record is from RNAcentral.